GCUAGUGGUGGGCUUGGACUGUUACAAAUGGUAUCAGAGCCAAACAUUGGGCGACGUGCCAGUGAGGAGGCUAAGCCCCGAAGAGGGUUGACACGAGGCGGUGUGC
Cucurbita maxima (winter squash) is the source of this 106-nucleotide long non-coding RNA. RefSeq lists it as uncharacterized. The transcript is spliced from 3 exons. Lineage: Eukaryota; Viridiplantae; Streptophyta; Magnoliopsida; Cucurbitales; Cucurbitaceae. The record is from RefSeq and is a predicted model, not a curated record.